RNAcentral lists this ribosomal RNA (282 nucleotides) under Ephippiger ephippiger (European bushcricket). RNAcentral's name for it is "partial 18S ribosomal RNA". It matches the Rfam family "Eukaryotic small subunit ribosomal RNA", at positions 1063 to 1344 of the family's 1831-position model. Lineage: Eukaryota; Metazoa; Arthropoda; Insecta; Orthoptera; Tettigoniidae. The record is from RNAcentral.
UUGUCUCAAAGAUUAAGCUGGCAGCUGUCGGGAAACCAAAGCUUUUGGUUUCUGGAUGAAGUAUGGUUCCAAAGCUGAAACUUAAAGGAAUUGACAGAAGGGUACCACGAGGAGUGGAGGCUGCAGCUUAAUUUGAUUCAACACGGGAAAUCUUACCAGGCCCGGACACCGCAAAGAUUGACAGAUUGAGAGCUCUUUCUUGAUUCGGUGGGUGGUGGUGGAUGGCCGUUCUUAGUUGGUGGAGUGAUUUUUCAGGUUAAUUCCGAUAACGAACGAGACUCC